Macaca fascicularis (crab-eating macaque) is the source of this 117-nucleotide unclassified non-coding RNA. It matches the Rfam family "Metazoan signal recognition particle RNA". Rfam says of the family: The signal recognition particle (SRP) is a universally conserved ribonucleoprotein. It is involved in the co-translational targeting of proteins to membranes. The record is from Ensembl. NCBI's taxonomy places the organism in Eukaryota, Metazoa, Chordata, Mammalia, Primates, Cercopithecidae.
GCCGGGCAUGAUGGCUCAUGCCUGUAAUCCCAGCACUUUGGGAGGCCGAGGCGGGUGGAUCACCUGAGGUCAGGAGUUCAAGACCAGCCUGGCCAACAUGGCGAAACCCCGUCUCAC